RNAcentral lists this ribosomal RNA (490 nucleotides) under uncultured bacterium. Its description in RNAcentral is "partial 16S ribosomal RNA". It matches the Rfam family "Bacterial small subunit ribosomal RNA", at positions 30 to 507 of the family's 1533-position model. The record is from RNAcentral.
AUUGAACGCUGGCGGCAGGCCUAACACAUGCAAGUCGAACGGUAACAGAAAGCAGCUUGCUGCUUUGCUGACGAGUGGCGGACGGGUGAGUAAUGUCUGGGAAACUGCCUGAUGGAGGGGGAUAACUACUGGAAACGGUAGCUAAUACCGCAUAACGUCGCAAGACCAAAGAGGGGGACCUUCGGGCCUCUUGCCAUCGGAUGUGCCCAGAUGGGAUUCGCUAGUAGGUGGGGUAACGGCUCACCUAGGCGACGAUCCCUAGCUGGUCUGAGAGGAUGACCAGCCACACUGGAACUGAGACACGGUCCAGACUCAUACGGGAGGCAGCAGUGGGGAAUAUUGCACAAUGGGCGCAAGCCUGAUGCAGCCAUGCCGCGUGUAUGAAGAAGGCCUUCGGGUUGUAAAGUACUUUCAGCGGGGAGGAAGGGAGUAAAGUUAAUACCUUUGCUCAUUGACGUUACCCGCAGAAGAAGCACCGGCUAACUCCGUG